Molecule: non-coding RNA, 30 nt
Filed under: Mus musculus (house mouse)
Lineage: Eukaryota; Metazoa; Chordata; Mammalia; Rodentia; Muridae
Source: RNAcentral
UGGACAGAUAGCCACACAGAGAGGCUCUGA